This 498-nucleotide ribosomal RNA is filed under the name uncultured bacterium. Its description in RNAcentral is "partial 16S ribosomal RNA". It matches the Rfam family "Bacterial small subunit ribosomal RNA", at positions 30 to 523 of the family's 1533-position model. The record is from RNAcentral.
AUUGAACGCUGGCGGCAUGCCUUACACAUGCAAGUCGAACGGUAACAGGUCUUCGGAUGCUGACGAGUGGCGAACGGGUGAGUAAUACAUCGGAACGUGCCUAGUAGUGGGGGAUAACUACUCGAAAGAGUGGCUAAUACCGCAUGAGAUCUACGGAUGAAAGCAGGGGAUCGCAAGACCUUGUGCUACUAGAGCGGCCGAUGGCAGAUUAGGUAGUUGGUGGGAUAAAAGCUUACCAAGCCGACGAUCUGUAGCUGGUCUGAGAGGACGAUCAGCCACACUGGGACUGAGACACGGCCCAGACUCCUACGGGAGGCAGCAGUGGGGAAUUUUGGACAAUGGGCGCAAGCCUGAUCCAGCAAUGCCGCGUGCAGGAUGAAGGCCUUCGGGUUGUAAACUGCUUUUGUACGGAACGAAAAGCCCCGGGUUAAUACCCUGGGGUCAUGAUGGUACCGUAAGAAUAAGCACCGGCCAACUACGUGCCAGCCGCCGCAGUAA